AUUGAGGCUGCAGGGGAAGAACCGCGUUUGGUAAUUCACGUCUAAACUCAACUGUUACAACUGCAAGCAAAAUGCAGACAGCAUCCAAGAACCUCACUCGUCUCGUCGAGAGGUGGAGGAUCUACAUGUCUUUCCUUCAUGACGAAGCAGCAGCUGGUGACACAACGCCGCCACCUGGUGGAGGACGCGUGUCACUACAGAUACUCACUCACACCCUGCGCGCACUGUAAACACACACCAGCCGGUGGAGGAGGGAGGUGGAUCGCGUGCACGGCACCAACCGAGCAGCGCGUGCACGGCACCAACCGAGCAGCGCGUGCACGGCACCAACCGAGCAGCGCGUGCACGUCUCAAAGGAUACUACGAGGCAGUUUUCUUCCCUUUGCAGAGUUUCUUGAAUGGCCACGGAUUGAUCCAUAGCGAGGCCUGCGGGGACAAGUUCGCAGACUCCGUAAUGCCCGAGGGGGGGGGGG
Long non-coding RNA from Gasterosteus aculeatus aculeatus (three-spined stickleback), 473 nucleotides. RefSeq lists it as uncharacterized. The record is from RefSeq and is a predicted model, not a curated record. Lineage: Eukaryota; Metazoa; Chordata; Actinopteri; Perciformes; Gasterosteidae.